Molecule: ribosomal RNA, 253 nt
Filed under: uncultured bacterium
Lineage: Bacteria
Description: partial 16S ribosomal RNA
Rfam family: Bacterial small subunit ribosomal RNA
Source: RNAcentral
UACAGAGGGUGCAAACGUUGCUCGGAAUUAUUGGGCGUAAAGCGCACGUAGGCGGUUUGGUAAGUUGGAUGUGAAAACCCCGGGCUUAACCCUGGAAGUGCAUCCAAGACUGCCAAGCUAGAGUGUCGGAGGGGGUCGGAGAAUUCCCGGUGUAGAGGUGAAAUUCGUAGAUAUCGGGAGGAACAUCUGUGGCGAAGGCGCCGACCUGGACGACAACUGACGCUGAGGUGCGAAAGCAUGGGGAGCAAACAGG